This 1282-nucleotide ribosomal RNA is filed under the name Ilyarachna longicornis. RNAcentral describes it as "SSU rRNA". It matches the Rfam family "Eukaryotic small subunit ribosomal RNA", at positions 94 to 1162 of the family's 1831-position model. Lineage: Eukaryota; Metazoa; Arthropoda; Malacostraca; Isopoda; Munnopsidae. The record is from RNAcentral.
UGGCUCAUUAAAUCAGUCAUAAUUCCUUGGAUAGUGACAAACUUCCUCGGAUAACUGUGGAAAAUCCAGAGCUAAUACGUGCAACUGAGCUCCGACCUUUAUUGGGAAGAGCGCAUUUAUUAGAUUCAAAACUGACCGUCGUAUUCCUCCGGGAUGCGACGUUUGUCAAAAGUUGAUGACUCCGGAUAACUUAGCCGAGCGCUACGGUCCUAGUACCGGCGCCGUAUCUUUCAAGUGUCUGCCUUAUCAGCUUUCGAUUGUAGGUUAAACGCCUACAAUGGCUGUAACGGGUAACGGGGAAUCAGGGUUCGAUUCCGGAGAGGGAGCCUGAGAAACGGCUACCACAUCUAAGGAAGGCAGCAGGCACGCAAAUUACCCACUCCCAGCCCGGGGAGGUAGUGACGAAAAAUAACGAUGCGAGACUCUUCCGAGGCCUCGCAAUCGGAAUGAGUCCAUUUUAAAUGUUUGGACGAGGAUCCAUUGGAGGGCAAGUCUGGUGCCAGCAGCCGCGGUAAUUCCAGCUCCAAUAGCGUAUAUUAAAGUUGCUGCGGUUAAAAAGCUCGUAGUUGGACUUCCUAGAUCCAAUUCGUGGACGAGUCGCUCGUCGAAUUAACGUCCCGCGCCAGUUGCCCGACGAGGUCUCGUAACGCGUGUAUCGUUCGGCGUGCGUGGAAGGUUUCGCGCGGGUUUCGGCUCACGCUUCCUUUUAUCGCUCGUCGUCGGUCUCGUACUUUCGUUUCUCGAGUUUGGUGGACGACGGGUGCGUUGUCUUCGAGUAUCGCUCGUUCGCGUUUGGUACAAUUAAAAUUUUGUCGGCUCGCUCGGAGUGCUCUUUACCGAGUGUUCCAGGGUGGCCGACACGUUCACUUUGAAAAAAUUAGAGUGCUUAAAGCAGCCUUUGUAGUUGGCCUGAAUGUCUGUGCAUGGAAUGAAGUAACAGGACCUCGAUUCUGUUGUUUUUGUCGGUUUUAUUGAACCGAGGUAAUGAUUAAAAGGGACAGACGGUGGCAUUAGUAUUGUGGCGCUAGAGGUGAAAUUCUUGGACCGCCGCAAGACUAACUACUGCGAAAGCAUUUGCCGAGAAUGUUUUCAUUAAUCAAGAACGAAAGUUAGAGGAUCGAAGGCGAUCAGAUACCGCCCUAGUUCUAACCCUAAACUAUGCUAACUAGCGAUCCGCCGGAGUCAUUCCCACGACCCGGCGGGAAGCCCCAGGGAAACCAAAGUCUUUGAGUUCCGGGGGAAGUAUGGUUGCAAAGCUGAAACUUAAAGGAAUUGACGGAAG